AGCGCUGGGAUGGAUGGCACUCAGGGCCCUGGGGAGCAGCAUCCCCAUCACAGUGCUGCAAAAGGACGGCAUCCAGGCCCAGGGGAGCAGCAGCAGCUCACUGCAUCAGGUCACAGCCCUUCCUCCAGCAGGCUGAGCAGCACAGCACCAUGCCAGCUGCCAUGCCAGCCCCCUGCCCGCUAUGCUGCAUUACCAGGACCCCUCCAUCAGCUCUGCCAUCCCCUCCCCUUGCACUCCCAGCUCUCAGAGCACCUCCCAGGAGGCUGUGAGCCAGGCUUACCUACCUGCGAGGUCUCUUCCUACACCCCGAGCACUGCGAGCAGCGCUGCCACAGAGGUGCCAGAUGUUUCAGCAUCUCCCCCCUCCCCGCAUUACUUUGGCAAGCUGUUCAGUCUCCUGUCACAGGGAGACGUCACUGGGAGGCUCGAGUUCUCUGGAAAGAGGGGGAAAGGUGCCCAGAUCAAACACACAGCUGCUGACAGCCUGUGCUGAUUUGGUUUUAAAACCGUAUGUUUUGCAUCUGCCUCGCCGUGGCUUUUGUAGGUGGGCUCAGUGCAUGGUAAAUCAGGAUAACAAACCUACAUUUACCAUGAUCCUUUCAUCUCCUAGGAUCCCGAAGCACAUCGUUUAAUUGCACUCAGCCUGCACAUGCGUUCCGUAAAUAAAGGAAUGAUGAAUUAGCACAGCUGCUGCAGCGUUCACACGAGCUCCUAAGGCACAAUCUCCUCGUGCGAUCAAUCCAGCCCCGUGCUUCGGUGUUUUGUCAUCAAUCGAGCUCAGGAAGAAAUGUUCUCCCUACCUGGAAUGCAGCGCUGCUGAACCAGCUGAGUGGAGGAAGACAUCCAGGAUGUGGCAAUCCGUCUCCUGUCCGUUCCAGGCUGCUGUAAAUAUCCACCCGGCGGCUCUCGGUGGGCGCUGAUCCCGCAUGGGGGCAGCGGGGAAGAGGUGUGGGGUCUGCAUGGAGGUUAUCCGCCUUUGCUGGAGCUCAGUGCCGUUGCAGGGCUUGCUUGGGAGCGGUGAUUCCAGGCCAUGUGCUUCCUCCUCACACCUCAGCUGCAAAAGCCCUUUUCCUGUGCUGAGCGUGAAGCAUUCCUUGCAGCUCUGCUGUUAAAAAGGAUGCUAAUUACCCCUAAUCAUCCUGCAGGAAAAACAGAGGGCACGGCUGCCACGGAGCCUGCUUAUUCCAGACUGACUGAUCAGAAGGGAUCACGGAGGGCACAGAUGUACCAAAUCCAGGAGUCCUGCCCGGGCUGAGGCUCCUCUUUGGAGCACCACCACUAAAUGGGACAGCGGGGAGGUGGGGAUGCAGCGCUGGUGGAUGCGGUCAGGUCGAGGAACUUUCCUUUUUAUUCCUCCCGGGAUAAAAGGAGGCUCUCAGAGCCUGCAUUUCCACUGCAGCGGCGGCGUGAUUUUCACCCCGUGUCCAGACAAGAAAGCACCUCUGUAGCCUCUCCCCGCGUCGGAGUGGGACAUAACAUCCGAAUCACUUCCAAAAGCUCUCCAUUAAACUGAUUUACUGUCGGCAGCUUUGGUACGUGGGGCUCACAGAACCCUCUCCACGCCCCAUAGAGCCCCCCUCUCUGCCUGCAGGACCCCCUGCGUGCCACACCUCCACGCGCUGCUCCACCAUCCCCGCUGACACACACAGCCCCGCUGCUCCGGCGAGGUUAUAAUCCUCUCUUUGCAGAGGCAGACACGCGGGCCAGCUGGAGGCAGCCCAUUAAAGUGCCAUUUACUGGGCACAAGCGAAUUUGUGUUCCCCAGGACUGGGAUUUGCCAAGAUUAGACCAUAAAUUAGAGCGUUUCCUGGAAGAAAGUAAGGAGAGAAGAAAAAGAAGAAAAUAUAUAUAUAUAUAUAUGAUAAAAUGGAACAUUUUGUAGCCAACGUGGAUGCCAAUAAAGGAACGUUUCAUUUUUUGCCUGGAAGGGAGCAGCAGCAGCGUGUUGUUAUGGGCACAAGGAGGGCUGAGAUGCUCCUCCCCUUCACCUGCAUGCGGGGUCAGCACCUUCUGCACGGGGAGAGGCUGUGUCCCAC
Molecule: long non-coding RNA, 2035 nt
Organism: Gallus gallus (chicken)
Lineage: Eukaryota; Metazoa; Chordata; Aves; Galliformes; Phasianidae
Source: Ensembl